GUGUUUGUGAGCCGUCACGCCAUCUUCUUGGAAAAACCAGUUUAUCCUUGAUAGAGGCAGUGGGAGGAAAAUUGAGCUUGAAGAGAAAGUCUCUGAAAAGCAACGAGUCAUGGAUCCUAUCGAACCCAUUAAUACAGAGCCAGUACACGAUGUCCCUCAACCACCUCGCAGAUCAAGUAGGGUCUUCCAUCCUCCCGAUAGAUACUUAGGUAUACUAGAAGAGGAUACCGAGGAAAUG
RNAcentral lists this long non-coding RNA (238 nucleotides) under Phoenix dactylifera (date palm). RNAcentral's name for it is "long non-coding RNA (PDAC_LNC019372)". The record is from RNAcentral. Lineage: Eukaryota; Viridiplantae; Streptophyta; Magnoliopsida; Arecales; Arecaceae.